CCCCUCACAGGGUGGCACCUGGAGAGUUUCCAGAACUUUACCAGUCUCAGCUACAGGAGGGCGAGUGAAGCAGAGGCCUACCCAUUCCAUUCCUAGCUCAGGCAGUGGUUAGCGAGUGGAAGGCCAUCUGCUACAAGG
Molecule: small nucleolar RNA, 138 nt
Organism: Ornithorhynchus anatinus (platypus)
Lineage: Eukaryota; Metazoa; Chordata; Mammalia; Monotremata; Ornithorhynchidae
Source: RefSeq, a predicted model, not a curated record